GUGGGCGUAGCUCAAUCGGUUAGAGCACUGGACUGUGGCUCCAGAGGUUGUGGGUUCGAUUCCCAUCGCUCACCCCU
This 77-nucleotide transfer RNA is filed under the name Candidatus Cloacimonadota bacterium. Its description in RNAcentral is "Candidatus Cloacimonetes bacterium tRNA-His". It matches the Rfam family "tRNA". Rfam says of the family: Transfer RNA (tRNA) molecules are approximately 80 nucleotides in length. The record is from RNAcentral. Lineage: Bacteria; Pseudomonadati; Candidatus Cloacimonadota.